CUCUGAAACCAUGGCAACAAUGAAGAGAUGAAUGUGAACUGGCACUCAAUGGAUGUUGCUACUAACUGGGGCUCCUGAAGGAGACCCAAGUCUGUGUGGUUUAAACAGCAUGUGUGUAUUUUCUCUCGCAGUUCUUGAGGCUGGAAGUCCAAGAUCAAGGUGUUAGCAGCUCUGGUUUCUGGUGGGAUCGCUCUUCUUGGCGUGUUGGUGGCCUCAUCUUUGCUGUGUCCUCACCCAGGGUUUCCUCUGCAUGGAUUUUCCUGUUAACUCCUCUUCUUCUGAUGAGAACACAUGUUCCAUUGAAUUAGGAUCCCAACCUGAUGACAUUGUUUGACCUUAAUGACCUCUUUAAAGACCUUUUGUCCAAAUACAGCUACACUGGGUGUUAGGGUUUCAACAACACAUGGAUUUUUGAGGAGACAAGUCAGUCUAUAACAACCUCCAUGAAGAUUCCUUAAGACAUUUCAAGUCACCUGUAGGGAGUCAUAAUUAAAAAGGAUCAGAAAAUUCAACAAAUAGAAUUCACACCCUAGAACAAAAAAUAAUAGAAUUAGUCAGAGGAGACAUUAAAGUAAACGUGUAAAAGUUUAAAUAGAUACAAAAAAGAGAAAGAACCACCGGCAUCAAACUUGAAGAAGGACCCCUAUCUUGUUAUCUUGCUAUGAAACAUAUGAGCUGUAUGAUCUGGAGGUUAAACCAAAUGAAGUGUUUACUGUCGUUAUCCCUAUUUGAUGAAGAGGAUACCGAGGCUCACAGAGAAUUCAUAACUUGUCCAAGAUCGUCUAACAUCAAGUAAUCAAGAGUGAAUGACCCCGCAGCACACACACCAGCCGAGACCAACCUUGGAUUGGGGGGAAACUUCCAGAGGCAGAGCAGCAGCAGACCACACAUGGGAGAAACAUCUACAAAUGAAUACCAGGAGGAGGAUAGUUAGUACAGAGGCUAAAGUGCCUUGGAUGAAUGCCAGGAUUGCCAUCUACUUGCUGUGUAAGCUCUGUGUGUGCCUCAUUGAUGUGGGGAUAAAGAAAAGACCAUGUUCCAAUAUUUUUGAUCCUACCAUCUGAUGAAGCAGGAGCAUCCAAGACUCAUCUGGCAACUUUAUCUUUCAUUCCCAAGAGUCAGCCUGUUACUGUAUUUGCAAUAUGUUCACUGGAUCUCUACAAGGUGGCAAUGGCAUCUGUAGCCACAGCCAUGUGAAGAGAGCCACAGGAAAGGGGCCAGAGUAAACUCCUAACGAAUUGAUCACCCUUUGUCUAUUUUCUGACGUCUCUCAAUAAUGCGAUUUUGCAUGCCUUAUUUAACAACAUAGUCUUAGUAAAGAAUCUGGCCAAUAUAUAAUAGUACCUUAAAAACGGUUGUUACAUCUCUUUUGGGGAACUUGUCAGGCAAAGCAUUGUUCCCCAGAGAUUUCCCUUCCAGCUAUAUCCUUUGUUGCCAAAUCAGCUCCACUUUCUUGUUCUCUUUACACAAAGUUAUCCCAAGGCUUUGCCUAUA
Molecule: long non-coding RNA, 1494 nt
Filed under: Capra hircus (goat)
Lineage: Eukaryota; Metazoa; Chordata; Mammalia; Artiodactyla; Bovidae
Description: lncRNA (ENSCHIG00000001739.1)
Source: RNAcentral